Molecule: non-coding RNA, 849 nt
Rfam family: Bacterial small subunit ribosomal RNA
CCUUUAUAUUAGCUGUCAGUAUUCUUACACAUGCGAAUAUCCGUAAACCGGUGAGUCAUGCCCAAAAUUUCCAUGUUUAAAGAAAUGAAGGAGCAGGGAUCAAGUACACUAUUAUUUAUUAGUAGCUAAAGACACCACGCCUAACCACACCCCCACGGGAUACAGCAGUGAUAAAAAUUAAGCAAUGAACGAAAGUUUGACUAAGUAAUACUGAACAAGGGUUGGUAAAUUUCGUGCCAGCCACCGCGGUCAUACGAUUAACCCUAGUUAAUAUACUACGGCGUAAAGAGUGCUAAAAUAUUUCGCCUAAAUAAGAUUCAAGCCUAAUUUAGCUGUAAAAAGCAUCAAUUAAAGCGAAAAUCAAUAACGAAAGUAAUCUUAUUAAAUUGCAGCACUAAAGCUAUAGAACAAACUGGGAUUAGAUACCCCACUAUGUAUAGCCAUAAACAUAAAUAAGUUUAUAACAAACUUAUUCGCCUGAGAACUACAAGCAACUGCUAGAAACUCAAAGGACUUGGCGGUGCUUUAUAUCCACCUAGAGGAGCCUGUUCCGUAAUCGAUAAACCCCGAUCCACCUUACCACUUCUUGCUAAUUCAGCCUAUAUACCGCCAUCCUCAGCUAACCCUAAAAAGGAAGGAUAGUAAGCACAAUCAUUAUAAAUUAAUAAAAAAGUUAGGUCAAGGUGUAGCCAAUGGAGUGGAGAGUAAUGGGCUACAUUUUCUGUAGACAGAAUAUUCACGAAGUUCCCUCUGAAACACAGGGAAUGAAGGAGGAUUUAGUAGUAAAUUGAAAAUAGAGUGUUCAAUUGAAUAGAGCAAUGAAGCACGUACACACCGCCCGUCACCCUC